AACUUGCUAUGCUAUAAAAGUUAUUACUCAGUAAACAGUAACCUGUUGGGAAACUCCGGUUAAAAUCCGGGGCUGUGCGGCAGCUGUAAGUCAUGGACUCGCCAAUUGACAAGCCAGAAUGCCAACUCGUUACAGACCACUCUA
Limnoraphis robusta CS-951 is the source of this 144-nucleotide non-coding RNA. NCBI's taxonomy places the organism in Bacteria, Bacillati, Cyanobacteriota, Cyanophyceae, Oscillatoriales, Sirenicapillariaceae. The record is from Rfam.